Long non-coding RNA from Paramacrobiotus metropolitanus, 1332 nucleotides. RefSeq lists it as uncharacterized. Lineage: Eukaryota; Metazoa; Tardigrada; Eutardigrada; Parachela; Macrobiotidae. The record is from RefSeq and is a predicted model, not a curated record. The transcript is spliced from 5 exons.
AAUUACCAAAAUUAAUGGCAUUGGCCUGUAAUAUGUGGCAUGUACCGGGGAUGCUGUGGUUUAAAUCGUUGUCCAUGUCCGGUCACGAUCGAGGAAGAACAUCUGCCCGUACGUAACCGGAAGUUGUUGGCACAACUUGAAAACUGACCUAAAACAGCUUGCAUAGUAUUUCGCCCAAGGAGAAAGUCCACGCCCUGGUUGUCAUACCGAUUUUCGUAACACGCGAUGAUGCCCUCAUCACCACCCAUGAGAUGCUGAACUAUUUCCCACGCAUGGGCAGUCUGCACGGUUCCCUCAGCUUUUGCCUGCCAAUACCAGAUGAACUUCUUGUAACCUCCUUGAUGCCUGAUUAUGCGUGGAUUUUCUUCACGGAUCACAAGAGGCGGUGCAUCACUGUGGAUAUCCAUCCCAUAUCGAUUCUUGGCCACAACGUCUCGCACGCCAGAUACAGACGUAAUUGCUCGCAGAUGAUUGAUGCGACCUGGCGCAAAUGCCGAUGAUGAAGCACCAGUCGCAACUUCCGGUGGUACACUGUAAGGGAUAUCCCUGCCCGAAUUUUGAACUACCGCAAAAAAUUAAAUUGUUUACUUGCGGGCAAAGCAGCACCGGAGCUGUUUUCCGAAGCAACAACUUGGAUAUCCAUUGAUUUGGACAUUUCGCCUGCAAAGUUAUUGAGAAACAUUAAAGCUUUGACGGUUAUACAAUUUAUUGAGCUCAACCCCACAGGCGAUUCCGCCAGGAAAACGUUGGAUAUCCAAAGCAGCGACUGGAAAGCAAAAGGAACAUUACUCUUACUUCAUAGAAGUACUAUGUAUAUUGCUGUUUAUGGCAAAAAUUAAAUUAAUCACCGUUUUUUGUGGCAAGCACAGAUUUACUUGGACCAGAAGCAUUUACGCUAGAUGAUGGUUGGCUGUCCAUGGAAGGUGAACGAUGGAUAUCCACAGCAGCGACUGGAAGACCAAACAAAUUCUGGAUAUUUUAAAAGUUUUAAAAAAAUGAACACACCUUCAGCAAAACGCGCAUAAUCGGCCAUACUCGGUUGUGGUGCAGAUAGGGUUGUGUACGACAUGUCUUUGUCGUUAAGAAAAGGAUAAUGAAAACCUAAUAAUUUCAUUUUUAUAAUGCAAAAAUGAAAGCAAAAACCGGGAAAUUUACCGUCUGAAACUGGUAACAUGGGUCGCAAAUUCGCCAAAUAUCCCGUAUCUGCAAAACAUUUCAAAACCUUUUGCUUGACACCAAAAUAAAAAUAACAGGUUGCUACCAAGGCUAUCCUGCGUCGAGCGAUUUACUCCGGCAUCUGCAACAGGCUUCGGUGGCAUGCUGUUCACAUAA